CGGGGUGCAGCAGGCGCGAAAACUUUGCAAUAGGCGAAAGCCUGACAGGGCUAUCCCGAGUGCCAUCCGCUGAGGAAGGCUUUUACCCAGUCUAGAACGCUGGGGGAAUAAGGAGAGGGCAAGUCUGGUGUCAGCCGCCGCGGUAAUACCAGCUCUUCGAGUGGUGUGGAUGUUUAUUGGGCCUAAAGCAUCCGUAGCUGGCUAAGUUAGUCCCUUGUUAAAUCCACCGAAUUAAUCGUUGGAUCGCGGGGGAUACUGCUUGGCUAGGGGACGAGAGAGGCAGACGGUAUUUUCGGGGUAGGGGUGAAAUCCUAUAAUCCCGGGAAGACCACCAGUGGCGAAGGCUGUCUGCUAGAACGCGCCCGACGGUGAGGGAUGAAAGCUGGGGGAGCGAACCGGAUUAGAUACCCGGGUAGUCCCAGCUGUAAACGAUGCAGACUAGGUGUUUGAACGGCCACGUGCCGUUCUAGUGCCGCAGGGAAGCUGUUAAGUCUGCCGCCUGGGGAGUACGAUCGCAAGAUUGAAACUUAAAGGAAUUGGCGGGGGAGCAC
RNAcentral lists this ribosomal RNA (551 nucleotides) under uncultured archaeon. RNAcentral's name for it is "bacterial SSU rRNA". It matches the Rfam family "Archaeal small subunit ribosomal RNA", at positions 326 to 879 of the family's 1478-position model. The record is from RNAcentral.